GCUAGAUUACUCCAGAAGGGACGAUAUAUUCUAUUUCUAGCAUCCCUUGGUUUAUAAGUUGAAGAAUAUUCCAUUGGAAAGAAAAUAAUUAUGGGAUUGGUCUGGAUGAAAACUGGCUUCUGAUAACACGCCAAGCUUGGCAUCUGACCGAAGUAUGUAGAAGUAGAAGACUUUUUCAAGUUACUGUAUAGGAUUGCCAAGGCGUUUAUACAGCUGGAAAGCCUUGUUAAUUGUUUGUUAUUUGCGUAGAUAAGUAGGACAGACAAACACCAAGUAACGUAUCUUGAAUGUUUCAGUGUUGGCAUGUAGGAAAAUUUCUUUUCCAGACACGAACCUUUGACGGCCGCAUUUGGUGGUGGGAAAGAAAAUGAGAGGAAAAGUAACAAGAAAAAGGCUAGGUGGAUUAAAGACAAUGACCAUUUUGAGGAAAAAAAAAUGAUCAAUUCUCGCCGUAACUCUAUGAAGCCAAAUUGAUGAGGUUUGUACUUUUGAGAUACCAAAGUGGCCUCCAACUCCAACUCCAAUGUGAUUAAUCUUUUCUUUUCCAUUUUUUUUUUCAAAUGUAAUUGUGAUAUGUAAACGACCCAUAGUUUUCCUAUAAAUUCGGUGUGUAAGUAAUUUCUUGAACUUGUCAUUUGAUCUUCGAGAGAUCCAUAUAUCUGAUUAAUCUCUAAAUUAACAAAUUAUAAAACAUAUUUGGCACUAACAGAAUUGACUUUAACAGUGGGGGGAAGGGGGGUUUUGGAAUUAAUUUCAUAGUAGCUAUGUUGGUAGGGUAUCUAACAUGUGACAAAGGGUUGCAGAAAAAAUACGGGUAUUAUCAUAUCACCAUGAUUAUGAGCCAUCGAUCAUGCCGACAUGUGCAUUAAAAGCAUUAAACCACAUGGGAUCGAUGAUAGUUAGCGAUUUGAAGUUUCAACUAUGAACCAUCUCCCCUAACAUGGGUUGGUUUUCUUGAUUCUGAACACCACCAUGGUAACUGCCUACCUCUUGGCUCUUGCCUGCUGUUUCUUCGCUGUUCACACGGCAAAACCUUUCCCCAGUUAUUAGCUCACUCCGUUAUGGUAUAUAAAAAUAUAAAAAAAUACCUCAUACGUUUAUUUUAUAUACUCUCUUUUAUUGACUAUAAUAUUCAGCAGCAACAAAAUUCAUUCACAUCCAAAACAUA
RNAcentral lists this long non-coding RNA (1168 nucleotides) under Durio zibethinus. RNAcentral's name for it is "long non-coding RNA (DZIB_LNC000727)". The record is from RNAcentral. Lineage: Eukaryota; Viridiplantae; Streptophyta; Magnoliopsida; Malvales; Malvaceae.